AUGGAGUCUACGACAGCUAGAGACGUUCAGAACGCGUUCCUCCAUGGUGUUCUGGAAGAAGAGGUUUACAUGAAACAACCUCCUGGGUUUGUAAAUGCACAGGCACCACUUCAUGUGUGCAAACUUGACAAGGCCUUGUAUGGACUGAAACAGGCUCCAAGAGCGGGGUAUUCUCGCCUCAGUAAAAAGAUGCAAGCACUUGGUUUUAUUCCUUCAAAGUCUGACACUUCGUUAUUCAUUUAUAACAAGUCAAAAGUAUCCAUAUUUGUUCUCAUUUAUGUUGAUGACAUAAUUGUUACAAGCUCAUCUGAUGAGGCAAUAACAGCACUGUUGAAGGAUUUAAGUGCAGAAUUUGCUCUCAAAGAUCUAGGAGAUCUACACUACUUUCUUGGUAUUGAGGUUAAGCAGCACAAGGAUGGUCUUCAUCUCUCUCAAGAAAAGUAUGCAACAGACUUAGUGAAAAAGGCUGGUCUGCAAAGUUGUAAGCCUGCACCCACUCCUUUAUCUAGCACAUAA
RNAcentral lists this ribosomal RNA (516 nucleotides) under Triticum aestivum (bread wheat). RNAcentral describes it as "partial small subunit ribosomal RNA". The record is from RNAcentral. Lineage: Eukaryota; Viridiplantae; Streptophyta; Magnoliopsida; Poales; Poaceae.